This 446-nucleotide ribosomal RNA is filed under the name uncultured bacterium. RNAcentral describes it as "partial 16S ribosomal RNA". It matches the Rfam family "Bacterial small subunit ribosomal RNA", at positions 338 to 795 of the family's 1533-position model. The record is from RNAcentral.
CCUACGGGCGGCUGCAGUCGAGAAUCAUUCACAAUGGGGGAAACCCUGAUGGUGCGACGCCGCGUGGGGGAAUGAAGGUCUUCGGAUUGUAAACCCCUGUCAUGUGGGAGCAAAUUAAAAAGAUAGUACCACAAGAGGAAGAGACGGCUAACUCUGUGCCAGCAGCCGCGGUAAUACAGAGGUCUCAAGCGUUGUUCGGAAUCACUGGGCGUAACGCGUGCGUAGGCUGUUUCGUAAGUCGUGUGUGAAAGGCGCGGGCUCAACCCGCGGACGGCACAUGAUACUGCGAGACUAGAGUAAUGGAGGGGGAACCGGAAUUCUCGGUGUAGCAGUGAAAUGCGUAGAUAGCGAGAGGAACACUCGUGGCGAAGGCGGGUUCCUGGACAUUAACUGACGCUGAGGCACGAAGGCCAGGGGAGCGAAAGGGAUUAGAUACCCUAGUAGUC